RNAcentral lists this ribosomal RNA (720 nucleotides) under uncultured Pseudomonadota bacterium. Its description in RNAcentral is "bacterial SSU rRNA". It matches the Rfam family "Bacterial small subunit ribosomal RNA", at positions 75 to 776 of the family's 1533-position model. Lineage: Bacteria; Pseudomonadati; Pseudomonadota. The record is from RNAcentral.
GGAGCUUGCUCCAGGCGUCGAGCGGCGGACGGGUGAGUAAUGCAUAGGAAUCUGCCCGGUAGUGGGGGAUAACCUGGGGAAACCCAGGCUAAUACCGCAUACGUCCUACGGGAGAAAGCAGGGGAUCCGUGUUCUUCGGAAUGGGGACCUUGCGCUAUCGGAUGAGCCUAUGUCGGAUUAGCUGGUUGGUGAGGUAAUGGCUCACCAAGGCGACGAUCCGUAGCUGGUCUGAGAGGAUGAUCAGCCACAUCGGGACUGAGACACGGCCCGAACUCCUACGGGAGGCAGCAGUGGGGAAUAUUGGACAAUGGGCGCAAGCCUGAUCCAGCCAUGCCGCGUGUGUGAAGAAGGCUUUCGGGUUGUAAAGCACUUUCAGUGAGGAAGAAGGCCUUGGGGCCAAUACCCCCGAGGAAGGACAUCACUCACAGAAGAAGCACCGGCUAACUCCGUGCCAGCAGCCGCGGUAAUACGGAGGGUGCGAGCGUUAAUCGGAAUUACUGGGCGUAAAGCGCGCGUAGGUGGCGUGAUAAGCCGGUUGUGAAAGCCCCGGGCUCAACCUGGGAACGGCAUCCGGAACUGUCAGGCUAGAGUGCAGGAGAGGAAGGUAGAAUUCCCGGUGUAGCGGUGAAAUGCGUAGAGAUCGGGAGGAAUACCAGUGGCGAAGGCGGCCUUCUGGACUGACACUGACACUGAGGUGCGAAAGCGUGGGUAGCAAACAGG